CCCGCCCACUCCCGCCAUCUUCCGUCAGAGAAUCCCGGCUCCUGCUGCAAUAAGAGGCUGUUCUGGAAGCUCUGGGGUUCGGGUCUUUGUCCCUGCAGUCUUUUCCAGCUAUUGUGUAGAACAUUUUGGGCAGGAGAAUCUAGGACCAAGCCACAUCAGUUCUCUCCUUAACCCACUCCAUUCGACUGUUAUCACAGCUAUGCUUCCAGAGUGCUCUGUGCAUUUUCACGAUCAGCAAACAAUGAAUAAAUCUCUGUCUGAAUGAGAGUUCCUGUUGCUGCACAUUCUCAAUAUCAGUUGUUGUCAGUGCUCCAGAUUUUGGCCAUUCUACUAGGAUUCCAGAACAAUGCUACGAGGGUCUGAAUGCCUGUCCCACACAUAGGAUUCUAGAACACCCCAGCUGUCGUCUGAAUGAUUGCCCCCCACAUAUGAUUCCAGAACACUGCUGCUGCGGUCUGAAUGAUUGUACCUCACACAGGAUUCCAGAACACUCCUCCUCUAGUCUGAAUGUUUGUCCCUCAGAUAAUAUUCCGGAACACUGCUGCUGGGUUCUGAGUGUUUGUCCCUCACAUAGGAUUCCAGAACACUGCUAAGAGGGUCUGAAUGUUUGUCCUUCACAUGAGAUUGCAGAACACUGCUAAGAGGGUACGAUUGUUUCUACCUCACAUAAGAUUCCAGAACACUUCUACGAGGGUCUGAAUCUUUGUCCCAUACAUAGGACUCCAGAACACUCCUGCUGUGUUCUGAAUGUGUUUUCCUAACAUAGGAUUCCAGAACAAUGCUACGAGGGUCUGAAUGCUUCUCCCACAAGUAGGAUUCCAGAACACCCCAGCUGCAGUCUGAAUGAUUGUCCCUCACAUAGGAUUCCAGAACACUGCUGCUGGGUUCUGAGUGUUUCUCCCUCACAUAGGAUUCCAGAACACUGGUACAAGGGUCUGAAUGAUUGUACCUCACAUAGGAUUCCAGAACACUCCUGCUCUGGUCUGAAUUUUUGUCCCUCAGAUAGGAUUCCAGAACACUACUACUGGGUUCUGAGUGUUUGUCUCCCACGUAGGAUUCCACAACACUGCUACGAGGGUCUGAAUGUUUGUCCCACACAUAGGACUCCAGAACACUCCUGCUCUGGUCUGAAUGUUUGUCCCUCAGAUAGGAUUCCAGAACACAGCUUCUGGGUUCUGAGUAUUUGUCCCUCACAUAGGAUUCCAGAACACUGCUACUGGGUUCUGAGUGUUUCUCCCUCACAUAGGAUUCCACAACACUGCUAAGAGUUUCUGAAUGUUUGUCUCAUACAUAGGAUUCCAGAACACUGCUACGUGGGUCUAAAUGUUUGUCCCUCACAUAGGAUUCCAGAACACUACUGAUGUGGUCUGAAUGCUUGACCCUCACAUAGGAUUCCAGAAUAUUCCUGUUGUCUUCUGGGUGUUUGUGACUCACAAGGGUUUCCAGAUCUAUCCUGCUGUGUUCUGAAUGUUUCCCCCUCAGAUAGGAUUCCAAAACAUUCCUUCUGUGGUCUGAGUGUUUGUCUCUCAAAUAGGAUUCCAAAACACUGCUACUGGGGUCUGAAUGUUUGUGCCUCAAAUAGGAUUCCAGAACACUGCUACGAGGGUCUGAAUUAUUCUCCCUCACAUAGCAUUCCAGAACACUCCUGCUGUGGUCUGAAUGUUUAUGCCUCACUCAGGAUUCCAGAACAUUCCUGCUGUGGUCUGAAUGGUUGUCCCUCACUUAGGAUUCCAGAACACUGCUGUUGGGUUCUGAGUGUUUGUCCCGCACAUAAGAUUCCAGAACACUGCUACUUGGGUGUCAAUGUUUGUCCCUCAGAUAGGAUUCCAGAACACUGCUGAUGGGGUCUGAAUGCUUGUCCCUCACAUUGGAUUCCAGAACACUCCUGCUGUGGUCUGAAUGUUUGAACAUCACAUAGGAUUACAGAACACUGCUGUGGGUUUCUGAGUAUUUGUCCCUCUCAUAGGAUUCCGGAACACUGCUACGAGAGUCUGAAUAUUUGUCCCACACAUAGGACUCCAGAACACUCCCGCUGUGUUCUGAAUGUAUUUUCCUAAAAUAGGAUUCCAGAACAAUGCUACGAGAGUCUGAAUGCGUUUCCAACCCGUAGGAUUCAAGAAGACCCCAGUUGUGGUCUCAAUGAUUGUCCCUCACAUAGGAUUCCAGAACACUGCUGCUGGGUUCUGAGUGUUUUUCCCUCACAUAGGAUUCCAGACCACUGCUACGAGGGUCUGAAUUAUUCUCCCUCACAUAGGAUUCCAGAACACUCCUGCUGUGGUCUGAAUGUUUGCCCCUCACUUAGGAUUCCAGAACACUGCUGCGGGGUUCUGAGUGUUUGUCCCUCACAUAGGAUUCCAGAACACUGUUACGAGGUUCUGAAAGUUUGUCCCUCACGUAGGAUUCCAUUACACUAGUGCUGUGGUCUGAAUGGUUGACACUCACAUAGGAUUCCAGAACAUUCCUGCUGUAUUCUGAAUGGUUGACCCUCACAUAGGAUUCCAGUACAUUCCUGCUGUGGUCUGGGUGUUUUUGCCUCACAUGGGAUUUCAUAACAAUCCUGCUGUGGUCUGACUGUUUGUCCCUCACAUAGGAUUCCAAAACAU
This is a long non-coding RNA of Homo sapiens (human), 2603 nucleotides long. RefSeq lists it as uncharacterized. Lineage: Eukaryota; Metazoa; Chordata; Mammalia; Primates; Hominidae. The transcript has 4 exons. The record is from RefSeq and is a predicted model, not a curated record.